Molecule: ribosomal RNA, 939 nt
Filed under: uncultured bacterium
Lineage: Bacteria
Description: bacterial SSU rRNA
Rfam family: Bacterial small subunit ribosomal RNA
Source: RNAcentral
AAGUCGACGCCCCGCAAGGGGAGUGGCGCACGGGUGAGUAACACGUGGGAAUAUGCCUCUAGGUACGGAACAACCCAGGGAAACUUGGGCUAAUACCGUAUAAUGUCUUUGGACCAAAGAUUUAUCGCCUAGAGAGUAGCCCGCGUCUGAUUAGGUAGUUGGUGAGGUAAUGGCUCACCAAGCCUACGAUCAGUAGCUGGUCUGAGAGGAUGAUCAGCCACACUGGAACUGAGACACGGUCCAGACUCCUACGGGAGGCAGCAGUUAGGAAUAUUGGACAAUGGGCGCAAGCCUGAUCCAGCCAUGCCGCGUGAGUGAUGAAGGCCUUAGGGUUGUAAAGCUCUUUCGGCUGUGAGGAUAAUGACAGUAACAGCAGAAGAAGCUCCGGCUAAAUUCGUGCCAGCAGCCGCGGUAAUACGAAUGGAGCAAGCGUUGUUCGGAAUCACUGGGCGUAAAGCGUAUGUAGGCGGUCAUGCGAGUCAGGAGUGAAAUCCCAAGGCUCAACCUUGGAAUUGCUUUUGAAACUGCAUGGCUAGAGACUUGGAGAGGUUAAUGGAAUUUCCAGUGUACAGGUGAAAUUCCCAGAUAUUGGAAGGAACACCAGUGGCGAAAGCGAUUAACUGGACAAGUACUGACGCUGAGAUACGAAAGCGUGGGGAGCAAACAGGAUUAGAUACCCUGCUAGUCCACGCCAUAAACGAUGUAUGCUAGCUGUUGGAUACCUUGCUAUUCGGCGGCGCCGCUAACGCAUUAAUCAUACCGCCUGGGGAGUACGGUCGCAAGAUUAAAACUCAAAGCGAAUUGACGGGGACCCGCACAGGCGAUGCAGCAUGUUGUUUAAGUCGAAGCACCACGAAGAGCUUAUCUACACUUGUCAUCCCGAUUUUGCUUACACAGAUGGCCUGCUUCACUCGGCUGGAUCGGUGACAGAUGCUACAU